CAUGUGAAUUUUUAGCUGUGUAUAGUUAACAUUUUAUAAAAAGUUUGGUUCAUACCACAUGUCCAGAAUUAGAAGUGAAGUGAGACAUUGUGAUAAUUGUAUACCUUGCAUAAGGAUAGAAUCAAGGAGUUACUUGUGCCUGUGAUCAGGUAUAGGUCUUAUAUCUUUGAGGUGUGGACAUCAGUAUCCUCCUUGGUAGCUGUUUUGACAAAGACACGACCAUAUUGUUACACACAGUCACCCUGCUGUGGAGUAGAAUACUAGAAUGUAUUCCUCUCCUUUAACUCUCUGCAUACCUAUUGCCAGUCCUUGCCCAUGUCCUCUCCUCUACCCAGCCUGUGGUGACCACUACUGUAUUUUCACCUUCAGUGAGUUAAAUUUUUCAGCCCCACAUAAUUGAGAACAUGCAGGGUUGAUUUUUCUCUUAUUUCUGCUUUUCUGAUUUGAUUGAACAUAGUAUCUUGCAGGUGCAGCCGUGUUGUGGGAAAUGAAAAAUGCCCUGAAUUUUGAUGGCUGAAAAGUAUUCCAUUGUGCCUGUGUCCUGGAAAUUCUUUAUCCCUUCAUCUGUGGAUGGACAGGUUUCUCCAAGUGGUUGCAGAUGACAUGAUUUCCUGAAGUGUUACAGCUGAUGUGUGUUUCCUUGUGUAUAUAUACUGUGGUUCCUUUAUCCCUUCAUCUGUGGAUAGACAGGUGCAACCGUGUGGUUCCCC
This is a non-coding RNA of Macaca mulatta (Rhesus monkey), 710 nucleotides long. Lineage: Eukaryota; Metazoa; Chordata; Mammalia; Primates; Cercopithecidae. The record is from RefSeq and is a predicted model, not a curated record.